UACGUAGGGUGCGAGCGUUGUCCGGAAUUAUUGGGCGUAAAGAGCUCGUAGGCGGUUUGUCGCGUCUGCUGUGAAAACUCGGGGCUCAACUCCGAGCUUGCAGUGGGUACGGGCAGACUAGAGUGCGGUAGGGGAGACUGGAAUUCCUGGUGUAGCGGUGGAAUGCGCAGAUAUCAGGAGGAACACCGGUGGCGAAGGCGGGUCUCUGGGCCGUAACUGACGCUGAGGCGCGAAAGCGUGGGGAGCAAACAGG
Molecule: ribosomal RNA, 253 nt
Filed under: uncultured bacterium
Lineage: Bacteria
Description: partial 16S ribosomal RNA
Rfam family: Bacterial small subunit ribosomal RNA
Source: RNAcentral